CGGGGUGUGCUACGUGGCAGCAGGAGCGCGGGAACAGCGCGCUCGCCUGAGGCCCCCCCGCCGGGCCCGCUCCCCUUUGCUAGCGUCCGGCCUAUCGCGUUAUUUUAUUUUUUUAAAAUUUAUUUAUUUAUUUUUUAUUUUUUUAAGGUUUCGCCUUGUUUAGUGCAAGUGUGUGAUUUACGCAGGGUGCCCUAGGCUUGGGUACUGGUGGCUGCAGGAGGCUGAGGAGGGACGUGGCUGUGUCCAAGGACAGCAGCCCCAUGCCCUGGCGUUCCCGAAAGUUGCCGCUGGCCGUGUCCUAGCGGGCUGCUCUCCCUCGGCCUUCACCAGCCUACAAACAGUAGUAAAAGUCUUACUCUGGUUCAGGAGUCACUGCUGCUGCUGCUAACAGGGAUGGCAUGGCUAGAGUACUGUAUGAGUAAGUUUGUUCCCCUUGUCUUUCUAUGCUAACAACCCAGUUAUGGGGCCAAACUCUUUCAUCCAUAUAAAAUUGAAAACAAUUCCAUGGUGAAAGGCUCCCUUUCUCCCUAAUUUGUAGGGAUGAACCAGUGAAAGAAAAAAUGAUGCAGAAGUAAUAUAAGCCUGGUUUCAACAGCUCACAGAAUCUGCUCAGUGGCAACUUUCUAGCAAUGAGAAUUUAUGCUGCUUUGCCAUGCCCGUGCAUACAGGGAUAGUAAAUAGCUUGCUGCCAGGAUGCUUCUCUUUCCAACUUUUACUGAAAAGAAAAAAAAAAAAAAGAAAAAGAAAAAAAAAGGAAGCUGAAGCAACAUUUUGCUUUGUGAAAUAAACACAGAAGUUACAGCCUGUUAUUUAAAAUUGACCACCUCAAAGAUCUGGAGAAUAUACUUCCUGGAUCAGGUUAAUAAACUUCCUAAAAAACUCUAGGCAUGUCUGUACUGUGGAGAACAGUAAAAUGUGCUCGUAAUGGGGGAUGCAGCUCAGUUGGGAUACUGGCUCAAGUUCAUAAGCAAUGCCACUGUUCUGCUGUGCCAACAAACAGUGUGGUUGUAUUGAUUUUUGUAUUGCCCUGACUCCUACCAUGCCAAAUCUGAGCAACAAACUGCACCAGUGGGUAACUGCAGGGCUUAUCUACAAUGUUGCAGGGUUUUUCUGAGUUUGUCUAGGCUAAAUCUUACUUUAUUAUUCCUGUGUCAAGCUCAUCAUGUAGCAUGAGUUGGCACUUCUGAUGCCAACUAACAAUCUUGGUUGUUAACUGACCUGUGCUCACAAUUAAUCUCUUAUUUACAACAUGCUGUGAGGUGUUUGGGGCUGAAAAAAAGAACAUUUUUCCUUCUUUCUCUAGUUGUAAGUUGUGAAUUUAUAUACUCAGUGAAACACAGGUGAUAUGCUGAUGAUAUAUAAUUUAGCCUAAAAUUCACAAUAAGUUAUUAAAUCACCAUUGUUGAUGAUUCAAAUAAUAGCCACAUACUUGUAUAUUAGACAUGAUUUGUCACAUGCAACUGUUGGGGAGAUUAUAACUUCAGAAGAUAAAAUAUUUAUAAAUAAAAUGUGCAAAGCUGAGUAUUUUUACAUUAAUUGAUAAACUGGUAUGUGCAAUGAAGUGCCUCAGUGCCUACAAUGCUGGCCACAUAGUGCCACACCAGCACCAAAAGAGACUUUAGUGUGAAGGUAGAGGUGUAUUCACUGAGAAAAUACACUAUUUCCCAGAAUAGGGUAGUAGGAUUUGAAUUGUAGGCCUAUCAUGUAGGGAUCAAAAGGUGCUAUUGCUACAUGCAAGAUGGAAAAUAUAAAGAUGAAAUGUACCUGUACAACAAAGUAUAUCAGUGAUUUUUCCUUUUUAGUCAGAUAAGUGAGCAGAAUUCUGAAUCCUUUCCAGAAUGCCUAAAAAGAUGUAAAUUGGGAAAUUAGCUGGUGAGUCCUGAAUAUGCAACUGAAUAUGUCAAGCCACCUUUGACAGAUGCGAGGACUGCAGACCCAUGAUUUACUGUCUACUCAAAGCCAAGUGCAGUUUUUCUUUGAACAAACUCUUCUAUCCUUUUUAAACUGGGUUAGAAUUGCAAUUGUAUUUUCACCUGUGCAGGGUGCAGACUGCACCAUCCAGAGUGCUCCAGUGAUAGCUUAUGCUGGGAGGCAGGGCUCUUUCACAGCAGCUCCUGGCUCAGGCUGGAUUACAGACUCAGCAGAAACCAUUGUCUUGCAAGGCAGCAUGGGCUCUGGAAGAGGUAACUUGUGCAGUAACUCCCUGUUCCUGGUUCUGCAUGGAGCAGCAUUCAGGUCACAGCAGAGCUGGGUGCCAGCUGGCUUGCAGGCUUUGUGUGACUGAGCAGUUGGAAGGACAAAUCUCGUGUUUAUUCCUCACUUCCCUUUGAAUGUCUUGCUAGUGCACUUCUAAUGCCUGAACAAAAACUAUAAUACACUUCUUGAAAGAAUCACAUAAGCAUAGAAUAGUUUGGUUGGGAGGGACCACCAAAGAUCAUCUAGUCCAAUCUCCCCUGCCUUGGAUAUUUCCAGGGAUGUAGCAGCCACCACCUAUUGUCCAGCCAUCUCCAAUGUUUCACCAAACAAAAAUGUCCUUCCAAACCCCUGUGCAUUUUGUUGUUUUAAUUUCACAGUGGUGACAUGGAAUUACACCUGUCUUCUAUGAUGCUGUGACUCUUGACUGGACAAUGUGCUGAGCAACCUGAGGUGACUUUGAAGCUGGUCCUGCUUUAUGCAUGAGUAGAGCAAGCUGGCCUCCAGUGCACUCAUCCAGCCUAAACUAUGUGGUGUGAUUUGGUGUGCUACUUAUACAGAAUUUGCUUUGCACAACUUACAUCAGUAGAUAAAGUUGCCGAAGUUGUAGGCUGCAAGCUGUAAACUUUCACCUAGAUAUUUUCAGCACAUGUUAUGGUCAAGUAAAAGAAGGCCCCAGAGCCAGUUCAAGUCAGAAGACAAGGAAAUUGCAAUCAGCAGCAGAAGCUUCCACCUUAGAGAGAAGUGGCCCAGACACUAUGUAGAGACAGUGAGGGGACACAAGGAAGAAUGGGAAGGCCCCAGUCAGAAUCACAGAAUCAUGGAGUGAUUGGAGCUGGAAGAGGCCUCUGGAGAUCAUGUAGUCUAAAGCUCUGCUAAAGCAGGUUCACCUAGAGCAGGUGCACAGGAUCAUGUCCAGGCAGGUUUAUAGUAUCUUCAGAAACUCUCUGGGCAGCCAGUGUCAGUGCUCUGUCAUCCCCACAGCAAAGAAGCUUUUCCUCAUAUUUAGAUGAAUCUCAUUGUGCUUCAUGUUGUGCCUAUCAUGAGCUUAAUAUUACUACUGGAACCAUCAGUUGCAUGAGAGGUGGGAAAUUUCUAAGGGCAUAAUUGCCCAGCAAUUUUUUUGUUUGAGGUCUUUUUUGGGGAGCACCCAGCUUAAGCUGUAGCACUACUUAUAAAAAGGACUUAAUAGAAGAGUCUCUUUUUGGCUUAUUGAUUUAGUGAAAACCUUGUUGAAUGCUGUUAUGGUGGCUGGCACGUGUAAUACCCGUAACAACUGUUCUGCGACUCUUAAGUGUAAUUUACUUUAAUUAAAAAUUUGUGUAGCUAAAGUGAAACAGAACAAGCUGGCUGCUUUAUUGUGUGAAAUAUGACAGAUUUGUUUCCAGAAUUUGUGGAACAAAUUUUAAUGCUGCAUUUCUGGUUUUGCUGUGUCCCUUCUAUUGGUCUGUCCUUUUGUUAACGUUAGAAGUAGCCAGUAGAUGAGUUUUUUGUCUGUCAGGGGUCAUUUCAGCUCACUUUUCAAUGUGAAAAAUAAUAGUUAUGGACAAGUAAUCUAAAGCAUUCCUUCCAGCAAUUUAUACUAAAUAUCUUUAGAGGGAAAACUGAAAUAUUACUUUUGAAUUAUGCAAAUCAAUAUUUUAUGUCCUUUUCAGUUAAUCUGAGUAUAUAAAAUUUGCAAUUUUUAUGAUUUACACACAAAGAUAAUUGCAAUCCAUUUGGUGAAGGCAUCUUUAAAAAUCAAUGUAAAAAAUAAGUUACAUGUAAAUGAAAGAGAAGCAAAAAGUGCAGCCACAAGCCAUUACAAAUAUAAUGAAAGUGAAUUUAGUGCUCAAGAUUUUUAUGACCUUCUGUUCUUAAACAAUUAAGAAGGUCUUUUGAGUUUAAUGCAAACUGGAGAAGACGCAUUUCCAUGCACAUAUAUAUGAUUUUCCAGACUAAAGGAACACUGUGAGAAUUAAAGCUCCCAGAUGAAAAAUAAAAAUUAUGAUUCCUAUAUCUCUGAAGUCAGCAUGCUGUAUCCAUCAAUAAAUUAUAAAAUGUGUGCUUUAAAAUGUUCAUAAACCAUGGAAAAGUAAGGAAUUACAGGAAUUGUAAUUUCUGGAACAUAUACAUAUAAAUUAAAUUCCAGAUUUGUAGUAGCCUAGUAUAUUACUUUCUCUGGCACUAGCCAGUCAAAAAUCCAAAGAAGUGUAGUCCCAGAAAAAUAAGGAAUCACUGAAUGCUUAAAUAAAAAGUUGUGGCUUAUAUCUAUAUACAAAGUGAUUAAAAUAUGCAUAUUUCUGGAGCUUUGCACCUGUGUAUUGAAGUGAUUGCACGUAAUUAGCAAUGUGAUUAUCAAAUAUGUUUUCGCAUGCCGCAUAUAAUUAGACUUACAGAAACACACUACAUUUAGAAUAUUUUAAUGUAGAUAAACUUUGAGGGCAGAAAUGAAGUGUUGUUAAAGAAAAGCAAAUUGUUUAACUCCUGAUGUGCCAACUGCUGCUACCUCUAUCUCCUGUAUCCUUCUGCUGGGAAGAGCAGUGGGAUGAGCUUUUCCUCCCCAUCCUUAGUGCUGCUAAAGGAGCAGUGUGCAGCUCCAAAUUGUGGGACACUGAUGACACAAAAAGGAAGGAAAAAAGAAGGCAACAGGAUUAGUGCUGGAUCAAUGCUAUCUUGAUGCAUCCUCUUUUGAGUAACUUUGUCUCUGAAAUAAAAUGAUCAUUAUAAAUUAAAUGGUCACAAUUCUAUGUGAUUACCAUAUGGUAAUCACACAGAAUUUACACCUCAAACUAUGGGAAAGUUAUGCUUGUCUAUUAAAUUGUAAUAAAGAUAGGUUUCUGUCUGGAAAACAUGGCUUUAUUUUGGGUUCCUGUUAUUCUGUGAUCCUGAUUUCCCACAUUAAAUGAAGUUAAAUCAGAAAUA
Molecule: long non-coding RNA, 5097 nt
Organism: Cyanistes caeruleus (blue tit)
Lineage: Eukaryota; Metazoa; Chordata; Aves; Passeriformes; Paridae
Source: RefSeq, a predicted model, not a curated record